CAGGUGGUCAGGUAGAGAAUACCAAGGCGCUUGAGAGAACUCGGGUGAAGGAACUAGGCAAAAUGGUGCCGUAACUUCGGGAGAAGGCACGCUGACACGUAGGUGAAGUGAUUUACUCAUGGAGCUGAAGUCAGUCGAAGAUACCAGCUGGCUGCAACUGUUUAUUAAAAACACAGCACUGUGCAAACACGAAAGUGGACGUAUACGGUGUGACGCCUGCCCGGUGCCGGAAGGUUAAUUGAUGGGGUCAGCGCAAGCGAAGCUCCUGAUCGAAGCCCCGGUAAACGGCGGCCGUAACUAUAACGGUCCUAAGGUAGCGAAAUUCCUUGUCGGGUAAGUUCCGACCUGCACGAAUGGCGUAAUGAUGGCCAGGCUGUCUCCACCCGAGACUCAGUGAAAUUGAACUCGCUGUGAAGAUGCAGUGUACCCGCGGCAAGACGGAAAGACCCCGUGAACCUUUACUAUAGCUUGACACUGAACAUUGAGCCUUGAUGUGUAGGAUAGGUGGGAGGCUUUGAAGUGUGGACGCCAGUCUGCAUGGAGCCGACCUUGAAAUACCACCCUUUAAUGUUUGAUGUUCUAACGUGGACCCGUAAUCCGGGUUGCGGACAGUGUCUGGUGGGUAGUUUGACUGGGGCGGUCUCCUCCUAAAGAGUAACGGAGGAGCACGAAGGUUGGCUAAUCCUGGUCGGACAUCAGGAGGUUAGUGCAAUGGCAUAAGCCAGCUUGACUGCGAGCGUGACGGCGCGAGCAGGUGCGAAAGCAGGUCAUAGUGAUCCGGUGGUUCUGAAUGGAAGGGCCAUCGCUCAACGGAUAAAAGGUACUCCGGGGAUAACAGGCUGAUACCGCCCAAGAGUUCAUAUCGACGGCGGUGUUUGGCACCUCGAUGUCGGCUCAUCACAUCCUGGGGCUGAAGUAGGUCCCAAGGGUAUGGCUGUUCGCCAUUUAAAGUGGUACGCGAGCUGGGUUUAGAACGUCGUGAGACAGUUCGGUCCCUAUCUGCCGUGGGCGCUGGAGAACUGAGGGGGGCUGCUCCUAGUACGAGAGGACCGGAGUGGACGCAUCACUGGUGUUCGGGUUGUCAUGCCAAUGGCACUGCCCGGUAGCUAAAUGCGGAAGAGAUAAGUGCUGAAAGCAUCUAAGCACGAAACUUGCCCCGAGAUGAGUUCUCCCUGAGACUUAGAGUCUCCUGAAGGAACGUUGAAGACGACGACGUUGAUAGGCCGGGUGUGUAAGCGCAGCGAUGCGUUGAGCUAACCGGUACUAAUGAACCGUGAGGCUUAACCUUACAAC
This 1293-nucleotide ribosomal RNA is filed under the name Salmonella enterica subsp. enterica. Its description in RNAcentral is "partial 23S ribosomal RNA". It matches the Rfam family "Bacterial large subunit ribosomal RNA", at positions 1660 to 2925 of the family's 2925-position model. The record is from RNAcentral. Lineage: Bacteria; Pseudomonadati; Pseudomonadota; Gammaproteobacteria; Enterobacterales; Enterobacteriaceae.